RNAcentral lists this ribosomal RNA (597 nucleotides) under uncultured bacterium. Its description in RNAcentral is "bacterial SSU rRNA". It matches the Rfam family "Bacterial small subunit ribosomal RNA", at positions 921 to 1517 of the family's 1533-position model. The record is from RNAcentral.
CCGCACAAGCGGUGGAGCAUGUGGUUUAAUUCGAAGCAACGCGAAGAACCUUACCAAGAAUUGACAUCUACCCUUAACCCAUGGAAACAUGGGAAGCCUUCGGGCGGGGUAAGACAGGUGGUGCAUGGUUGUCGUCAGCUCGUGUCGUGAGAUGUUGGGUUAAGUCCCGCAACGAGCGCAACCCUUGCGUCUAGUAGCCAUCGCGUAAAGGCGGGCACACUAGAGGGACUGCCGUGGAUAACACGGAGGAAGGUGGGGACGACGUCAAAUCAUCAUGCCCCUUAUGACUUGGGCAACACACGUGCUACAAUGGGUUUUACAAAGUGAAGCGAGACGGCGACGUUAAGCAAACCACAAAAAGGAACCCUCAGUUCGGAUUGUAGUCUGCAACUCGACUACAUGAAGCUGGAAUCGCUAGUAAUCGCGAAUCAGCAUGUCGCGGUGAAUACGUUCUCGGGCCUUGUACACACCGCCCGUCACACCAUGGGAAUUAGAGGCGCCCGAAGCCGGUAGACUAACCGUAAGGAAGUCGCUGUCUAAGGCGAAGCUAGUGACUGGGGUGAAGUCGUAACAAGGUAACCAAGGGCGAAUUCGCGG